GUUGCUUCCCAAUGGCGAAUCCUCUUUUUUAAAACAAGAGGUUUUCAAGUUUCCCAAAGCAUAAAUUAAACCAAAAAACCCGUCUCAAACAACUUGGUGUAAUUUAUUUUAGCUACACUCUAUUACCUGUUGUGUUAGUUU
Small nucleolar RNA from Lathyrus oleraceus (garden pea), 141 nucleotides. RefSeq annotates it as small nucleolar RNA snoR137. The record is from RefSeq and is a predicted model, not a curated record. The transcript has a single exon. Lineage: Eukaryota; Viridiplantae; Streptophyta; Magnoliopsida; Fabales; Fabaceae.